UUAGUUUUACCCAUAUAUGAACUUACGUGUUGUGUUAAAGUGAAAGGGUAUACUAGAUUUAUCUGUUCUUAUCAGCUUACCAUCUGAGAGUUCCUCCAUUGGAGGACAACAAAUGUUAAACUGAUUUUUGGGAUCAGACGGAGUGCUAGGGGCUUGCUGCCCCGGUAUUGCAGUAACGCCGGGAUUUCGGCCCAACUGAA
Molecule: small nuclear RNA, 200 nt
Organism: Drosophila yakuba
Lineage: Eukaryota; Metazoa; Arthropoda; Insecta; Diptera; Drosophilidae
Product: U2 spliceosomal RNA
Exons: 1
Source: RefSeq, a predicted model, not a curated record